CCUACGGGAGGCAGCAGUAGGGAAUAUUGCACAAUGGGGGAAACCCUGAUGCAGCAACGCCGCGUGAGUGAUGAAGGUUUUCGGAUUGUAAAGUUCUAUUGUCAGGGAAGAUAAUGACGGUACCUAACUAAUAAGCACCGGCUAACUACGUGCCAGCAGCCGCGGUAAUACGGAGGGGGCAAGCGUUAUCCGGAAUUACUGGGCGUAAAGAGAGCGUAGGCGGGGGAGCAAGUCAGAUGUGAAAGGCUGUGGCUUAACCAUAGGACUGCAUUUGAAACUGUUAUACUGGAGUAUGGGAGAGGUAAGUGGAAUUCUUGGUGUAGCGGUAAAAUGCGUAGAGAUCAGGAGGAAUACUAAUGGCGAAGGCGACCUACUGGAACGUAACUGACGCUGAGGCGCGAAAGCGUGGGGAGCAAACAGGAUUAGAUACCCUAGUAGUC
This 440-nucleotide ribosomal RNA is filed under the name uncultured bacterium. RNAcentral's name for it is "partial 16S ribosomal RNA". It matches the Rfam family "Bacterial small subunit ribosomal RNA", at positions 338 to 795 of the family's 1533-position model. The record is from RNAcentral.